RNAcentral lists this long non-coding RNA (8893 nucleotides) under Marmota monax (woodchuck). The record is from RNAcentral. Lineage: Eukaryota; Metazoa; Chordata; Mammalia; Rodentia; Sciuridae.
GUUGCUCCGUGAUCUCCUGCUCUCCUGCCCUCGGCACCUGGCCAUCACCAGGCUACCUUAGAUUCUAUGAAUCUGGUAUUUUAGAAACUUUGUGUGACAGGAACCAUGAAAUCUCUAGAAUACCAGUUCCUUCCUAUUAUUUUUUUACACUCUUUGUGGUGUGUUUGCUGCCGUGUCUAAGGAAUCUUUGACAAGACGAUGUCACUGCAUUUUUUUUCUAGUGGCUCUACCGUUUCGUGUCUUAUGUUGAUGUUGGUUGAUUUUGGGCACAGUAUUGGAGUCCAAUUUAAUUUUCCGCACGUGAAUUUCAGCUUCCGCAGCGCUCAGUACAGAGCCUGGCCUUUCCGCCUCGAGGACUCUUGGUAUCCUUGCCUUGCUAAGAUGGCUGGAUGGGGUGUGGGCAGGGCUACUUCUCGGCUGUCGGUUCUGUUGGGAGCCUGAGAAGGGCACCAGGGUGGAGCAGCUGCCUCAGGAAAGCCACACGUCAAGAGCAGCUUCGGGGUGAACUAGUACCAGGGAGGCACUGGCUGUUGAUACACAGAGCAAAGGAGACAGUUCCGACUUCAGGGAGUUCCCAACCCUGAAGACGAGCAAAGGCUGGGUCCGGUUUCUCCUCAUCACAGUCAGCCCCCAGAGGGACGAGACAAGAAGCUGGGGAUGCAGGAAAGCCAGGGUGAUGUAUUCAGGUGGAUGGCAGGAAACAGCAACCUGAGAAACAGCCUGCCUCUUUGAUAAGACGGAGUGUUUUUCCCCAGAUGGGCUCUUUUUGCCAACAGAUAUUAAUAAAAAGUGUACACACAGAAUAUGCCAUCUGAAAAAAUUCUACAAUAGGGUAAAGAUGACUAACCAGCUUAAUUAUUAAUUUCUUAUUUCCUCAGGGCAACAAAACAAACAGAAUUAGGACUUUGAAUGGAAGGAUCGACCUUCAGAAAAGUGAAAUGGAAAAUGGACGUUCAAACACACCAUUUCCUCUGGGUCUAGCCCCUGGAUCAAGAUUCCAGCUCCCCAAGACUAAGUCUCAACAUAUGAUAAAAUUAACACUUAUGUGGCACCUAUGGUUUGCUUCAUGCUAAGUAUUCUGUACAUAUUAAGUUAUGUGGUCAUCACAGCAACAUUUUGAGCUGAGUCUGACCACCCACGAUUCAUCAAGAGGACACCCAUCCAGUGUGGACCGCCUGUGCAGGAUCACAAGGCUGUGGGCGGCAGGGCCAGAGGUGCAGUGAACUGGCUCCAGACCCCAUGCUUAGCUCUGCACCCGCAGCCACGGGGCCUGGGUGCCCUCUGAGCCUCAGGAGACAGAACAUGGGAGCAGCCCCUGGGUGCCCCCAAAGUUCUGAACUGUCCUAGAUUAACAGCGCAGAACACGCUAUCCACGGGCUUUGCUGUGACCGGAUCCGUGCACAGCCAUUCAGGUAACAAAGAGAUCCUGAGACUUAUCUUUCUAAAACGAAAAGCUUCCCUUUAUUUCACUAGACGUGAUCUACACACAGUGGAAAUGUCCGUCCCACAGGCUGAUAAAGCUACAUAGGCUCGAAAUGACUUCACGGGAACAAAAGUGGAGAGGGACUUUCACAAAGUCUGAUCCUCACGCAGACGUGGCUCUCAGCUGGGAAGGGAAGCGGAAGGGCAGGAGCACCUUAGGCGUCUCCAGCUGCAGAGGAGCAGUCCUCAGGCCAGAACAGGAGCCUCACGGGUUCCGCAAGAGGAGCUUUCUCACCGACGCUGUUCAAGGGCCACCCUCAGCGGAGGCAGAAUGCCAGGGCGGGAAGCUGCUCUGACCGGGUAGACAGGGUGGGCGCCCAGCAGAGGAGGAGGGGGUCCAGUCAGGUAGCCCAAUCCCAGGGCACUCAUCCUGGGCGAGCCCAGCAGGUCACGCGAGAGCGCGGGACAGGUGAGCCCUUGCUGGUGAUAGAGACACUGACAAGCCGGACGUUCUAGAUCCACUCUCCAAACGUGCGUCAGGAUCCUCGGGUGCUUUUAAAUCCAUAUCCAGGUUUGUACUCAUCACCAGAUCUCGCUGCGCCACAGGCCACUGCCUUAACGUGUUCCACGGAUCCUGUGAAUCACAAGUGUCCCAUGCAUCCUAAUCUCACACCAAUGACAGUUUAGUAGUGAAUGACUCUUUACAAUACUCACACAAUCUUCUUUUUAAAAAAUCAAAGCUUCACAUAUGGUCACAUCCCACAUUUUUGCAAAACAGAUGACAUAAGAUCUUCGAUGGUUGUGAGCUGAGGUGCAGCCUUGGAUUCUGUACCAGGACAGAAGAGGUCAGAGUGCAGAGUGCUUUAAACAGCAGAGCUAUUGUUUGCUGGUUCCUUCACACACAUCUGUGAGACUGCAUGCUCACUAUGUACAGAGCUAGGUAUUUAAGUACUGGGGGCCAUAAUUGGCAUAUCCUUAAUCCUUGAUGUUAAAAGUUCUGUGGAAAUACUGUCACUCUCUGGGGAGCAUCCUCCAAGGAGGCAGAGCAUAGGGAGCCCCUGGGGUGCAACCCAGCACACCUCAGGAGGAGCCCAUGCCAAGGAGCAUGGCACAGGGUCAGAGGUCCAGCAAGGCACACCCCUCAGGCUGAGCAGAAGCCACAUGGGCACAGAGCCUGAUGGUGGGUUUUGUUGCUGAGAGGAUCAGGCCAGCAAGCACCCAGGCAGGAGGAGGGCACUGGCGUGGGAGCAGAGGACAUUGCAUCUCCUGAUGGCAGUGAUGGCUAUGUGAAUGCGAACAUAGCAUAAAUAAGGCUCUGUGGGUGUCCCUCGGGGCACUGAUCUGUGGCCUCCCUCCUGUCUGUCUGUGGUUCAGCCUGGCCACCCACUCCCCGUCAGCCUGCCCUCCUCCUCCUACGUCUCCCAGCUCUGACUUCUUUGAUCACCUCAAGUGGGGAAGCACUUUCUACUCUACCUCUUCCUCCAAAUGACUAUUUUUAAAACUUCCAGUUCUUCUAUUAUUUUUCUGUUUUCCAAGUGCUAGAAAAGAAUCUGAGGAACACAAAUGAGUAACAGGAAGACAGAGAUCAUGCAUGGGUGGUGGGGAGGCUUGCUGGGAUACACAGGCAGGUUUAAGAACACAGCUGUAGGCUGCAAUGUCCUGUGGCACAAGCUUUAAUGUGUGAUCCAAUCACGUCCCAUGCUAAUAAAACUGCAGCUGCUCAUGAUGGUGAGUUAGACACAUAAACACUGCACCCAACUCCUCGGUGAUCACAGGGCUCAAAGAGGGCCGUGCCUGGAAUCCUGAGCUGGUUGAGGAGUCUCAGAGGCUGCAAGAUGAGUGGUCUUAAAAUAGCAGAUUCUGGUCUCAAACUGGACAUCUGCCUGCUGCUGACUUUGGAGCCGAGGGCCUUUACAGAGGGGGCUGACAAGGGCAGCUCAUUCCCCAUGUGGCCCAGGGAGCACGUGCUGCCGCUGGUCCUGCCUACCCAUCCGCUUACAAAAGCACCGUCCUGGGGGUAGAGCCUGGGAGGCCCCCACACUCACCACUGCUGUCUUGAAGAUGAGGCAACGGGGCCUCAGGGCCAGGCCACCAGGACACGGCACAGGCCAGCACAAGGUGGAACCAGGGUCAGAGCGAGCGAUACAAGGUGUUGGCCACAGCCCCGUUCACAGAGCACUGCUCUGACCGCCCAGGUGAUCCAGCCUCUCCAACCCUGCAGCCCCAGAGGGAGGACAAGGCCAGGUAGAAACACAGGACACCAUGGAGCCAGCCUCCCACGCUCCUUAGGAGGCCCUGAGCUGUUCACGGGCAUCCCAGGGGUCACUGUGGCUGAGGGUGUCCAUUGCAGGCACGGUGUCCUAUGGGCCUCCCCACACCAGGCCCUCGCUGCGUGUGGUGCUGUGUGGCUGCCCAGUCCCCGGCAUUUUGCUUUUCUACAGAGCAUCACUUCCAUGCAGCACAACCUCGUGCACGUCGGGCUUCUUCCCAGUAAGGCUUCCUUCGUCCGAUCCCCUUGCCUGGCCUGACCAGUGCGGGUGCUGAUGGGAAGUCCGCGGCACCCUGUUUAGAAGCUUAGGGGAACUCCUUUCUCUGGAAACUCCUCUUUCCAACUUCUGUGUCAUGCUCCAAUCAGGGCACGUCCAGGGCACUGCGGUGACAUCAGUUGAAAGGAUGUGACCUUGCCGUUCAGUUUCCAUCCCUGCAGGUCAAGGCUGCGGGUCUAACUCACCCACUUCUAAGCAGUGUUCAGAGGGGGGAGCCACUCGACUCCUGCGGCCCCCCCCUCCUGCUGUUCCCCACAGCGGAGUGUUCUUCGUCCCCUCAUCCCUCACCUGAAGGUCUGAGUAGCAAGGCACACCAUCUGGAUCACACGUGGCCUUUUUGAUACCUGCUCUGUAAUGUGCUUGUGGUGAUUUUCAUGAUACCAAAUUUACUCAACAAACUCCCUUUGAUUCUACCAGAGAAUGUAUUUCUUAGAAUGUUAAAUUUUUAUGCAAUCCCCAGCAUUCCUCAUCUACAGGGAACAAACCAGUGGAAGACCAGGAACUAGACUGUAAUGCAAAUGUAUUCUGUUAAUUUUUAUGGCAAAGAGCUGCUUGACCUUCAGGUGACCUACACUGAGCUUCCUGAACUUGGGGUGGCUUGAUGGAAGGUGAAGUGAAGGGGCAGCGACUCACGGAGUAUCCGGGACCCUGCAGGCUUCACAGGUGUCCACGGUGUGGGCUGGGCGUUGAAAUCCCCUAACUGGAAGGAAUGGCUGGAUUCUUAGGCUUCACUAUGUGAAGAAGUGUGAAUGGAGAGGUCCGGGUUCCCUCCUACCCUGCAUCAGUCUCUAGACGUUCAACUUUGAGCUCCAAACUCAAGGAAUAAAAUUACAGGAUGCCAAUAGCCUGUCCAGGAAGCAAUAAUGCCUUAUAAUGUUCCCCUGUCUUCCACAGUCCUCGAGUACAAAAUAUAUUUGAAAAAAAAAAAAAAAAGAAUACGCUGGCAGUUUUUCUGAAUGAAAUACCUAUGCAAACUAUCAGCAACGGAAAGUCCAGCCUUAGCCAUGCCAGGCCUUGUGUCAGAGCGAGGGAGUCACCAGGGCACGGUGCAAGGGGCAAAGGGAGAUCAGCCUACGGGAUCAGGGUCUGCAGGAGGAGGCAGGUCCACAGCAACUUCCAGGCACGUGUUUUAGGUCAUCCAACAUUGUCCUUGUGAAGUUAUAUGUGACCAGCUCUGCACCUGGUGCUGGCAGUGCUUGGACAAACAGGUCCUUACAGAACUCUGGACUCAGAGAGACUGUCACCAACAAGCCUCCACACCAGCCAGUUGGCCCAAAGAAUUCUUCCCAAUAAAGGACAGCACAUGGGCAGAGGCAUGUGACCAGUCACAGACUACAGUGCACAAGGCAAGAGGCUCCAACCCUGGGAGACGGGAUGCAAGUGGAAGAAUUCAGAGGCGGAUGGAUGUUAUCCACAGUGCAUCCAGAAGGACCAAGAACCCUUCAGCACUGUAAAUACCACUUCAAAAUCCUCCAAAUAGGAAAUAGAAGCGUGAAAGGUUUUCCCAUUAUAGAAUAUUAAUACUGUGAAUUUUGGUCAUUUUCUUCUUCAUUCAUUCGAGACUGUGCUCAGUAAGAGCCAGCAGCCACCAGGUACCAGCAGAGCAAGCCAAGCACCUUCAUCAUCUUACUGAUGCACACUCUGUCCUCACUGAGAUGUGAAUCCACGCCGGUGUCCUCAGCAAAGGUCAUGCAGUUCACUCAGUCACCACUGAAAUCAAACUCACCCUCUGGUAGUGCUGCGUGAUUUCCUCUUCUGGGGCAGACUCCAGCACCCUCACCUCCUGGGACCACCGUCUGGUCCCACGGUGCUCACCCACGCCACCCCAUGAGUACCAUGUAACCUCAGAGCUCUGUGCUCAGCUGAGAGUCCUCCCACCACGGGUCCUCUCUUAUAUUCUGACUAUAUACAUUUAACCUUGAGAGUUGUCUAUUCUCCAAAAAUUCAGAAUUUUAUAGCCAAAAGGUCCUUGACAUUACUAAAGUCAUUUUUCCAUAAAGAUUAUUCCAUGAAAUUAUAAAGGAAAGGAACACUCCAAAUACAUUCUAUGAAACUAACACCUAAGGCAUAUCAAGGAAAGAAAACCACAGACCAAUAUCCCUGAUAAACAGAUGCAAAAAUUCUCAAUAAAAUAUUAGCAAGCUGCAUUAAAAAAAAAAUCAUGAAGACAAUACAUCGUGGUCAAGUGGGUUUCAUCCCAGGGAUGCAAUGUUAGUUCAACACACACAAAUCAAUAAAUGUAAUUCACCACUUAAGUAAAAUUAAGAACAAGAAUCAUAUGAUCAUCUCAAUUGAUGAAGAAAAGGCCUUUGAUAAAAUCCAGCACUCGUUCAGGUUAAAAACACUGGUGAUACAAGAGAUAGAAGGAAUUUAACUCAACAUCUUAAAGGCUACAUACAACAAACCCAAAAAACAACAUCAAAUUGAACAGAGAAAACUAAAAGAAUUUCCUAGAAAACCAGGAAAAAGGCAAAGGUGUCCACUCUCACCAAACUUAUUCAAUAGAGUCCUUGAAACACUAGCCAGAGCAACAUGGCAAGAAAAGGAAAUUAAACAGAUGCAAAUUGGGGUGGGGGGACAUCUCAAAUUAUCUCUGUUUGUUGAUGACAUGAUCCUAUAUGUAGAAGACCCAAAAACUCCACCAGAAGAAUUCUAGAGCUAAUAAGUGUAUUCAGCAAAGAAAUAGGAUACAAGAUCAACAUUCAUAAAUCAAGAGCUUUCCUAUACUCCAACAGUGAUUCUGCUGAGAAAGAAAUCAGGAAAACUAUCCUAUUUAUAGUAAUCUAAAAAGUAAAUUAAAAAAAAAUAAAAACCCUUAGAAAUUAAUUUAACCAAGGAAGUAAAAGAUCUCACAAUGAAAAAUACAGAACACACAGGAAAGAAAUUGAAGAAGACCUUGGAAGAUGUAAAGCUCUCCCGUGUUCUUGAAUAGGCAGAAUUAAUAUGGUCAACAUGACCAGACUACUGAAAGCAAUACAUGAAUUCAGUAUAAUCCCCAUCAAAAUACCCACGAUAUUCUACACAGAACUAGAAAAAAGUUCUAAAGUUCAUUUGGAAGAAUUGAAGUUCCAGAAUAGCCAAAGCAAUUUUGAGCAAGAAGAGUGAUGCAGAAGAUAUUACAAUACCUAAUCUGAAAUCACACCACAGAGCUGCAGCCACAUACACGGCAUGACAUGCAUCAAACAGACAUGAACAGCAAGGGAUUAGAAUAGAAGACACAGAGACAAAGCCACACAGAUACACUUCAUCUGAUCCUUGCAAAGGUCCCAAAAACACAUGUCAGAGAAAAGACAGCCUUUUUAACAAAUGGUGCUAGAAAAAUUCUAUAUAAAUAUGUAGAAGAAUGAAUGCAGAUCUCUGUCUCUCACCAUGUACAAAAAUCAAAUUAGGUGGGGCUGGGGAUAUAGCUCAUUUGUUAGAGUGCUUGCCUUGCAUGCACAGGGCCCUGAGUUAGAUCCCCAAUAUCACACACACACACACACACACACACACACAUCAAAUUAGACUGGGUCAGAGGAUUAGGAAUUAGAUCAGAAAGUUUGCAGCUGCUGGAAGAAAACACAGAGUCAACACUCCACCAUAUUGGUGUGGAGUGUUCCUUAAUAAGAUCCCUAAAGCUCAGAACCAAAACCAGGAAUCCAUAAAUGGGAUGGCAUCGAAUUAAAAAGCUUUUGCUCAGCAAAGGAAAUGAUUAAGAGCAUAGAGAGAGAUCAUACAGGAUGGGAGAAAAUCUCUGCCAACUAUUUAUCUUAAGGGGAUUAAUACUCAGAAUUUAUAAAUAACUCAAGAAGCUUAACAAAAAACCCAGAUAUCUCAGUGAAUGAACAAAUGAUCUAGACAGACAUUUCACAAAAGAAAUACAAUUGACCAACAAAUACAUGAAAAAAAUGUCCAACAUCCUUAAUGACAAGGAAAAUGCAAAUCAAAAGUACACUGAGAUGUUAUCACUCCAGUCAGAAUGGCAGUCAUCAAGAAGACAAAAAGUAAUUGCUGGCAAGAAUGUGGGGGAAAUAUCCUCUCAUACAUUGUUGGUGGGACAGCCAAUUACCGCAAACACUCUGAAAAACAACAUGGAGAUUCCUCAAAAACUAGGAAUGGAUCCACCCUAGGACCCAGCUAUCUCACUCCUUGGUAUUUAUUCUAAAGAACUAAACCAGCAUAUUACAGUGACACACUCACAUCAAUGUGGAGAGCCACACGGUUUCUGAUAGCCAUAUUAUGGAAUCACCCCAGAUGCCUGUCAACAGACAGGUGGGUAAAGAAAGUGUCUCUCUCUCUCUCUCUCUCUCUCUCUCUCACACACACACACACACACACACACACGCACACACACACACCGUAGAGCUUUUACUCAGCCCUAAAGAGGAAUGAAAUAGUGGCAUUUGCUGGUGAAUGGAUGGAGGGAGAAGAUCAUGCUAAAUGAAAUAAGCUGGACUCAAGGGUUGAGUGGAAUUAGACCAAAUAAGGGAAAACAUUGGGUGGGGGUUGAAUAUCAUUAAGAAGAAGAAAGAUGGAGAUGGAGAGGUAGGGAGGAGAGGAAACGUGGGAUCAAUCUAACAGAACCACACCAGGGGAGGGAAGAGUGGGGGGGCACCCGGGACUGAACGGAGCAAACCCCAUGCAUGUGUGACAUGUCAAAUGAACCCAGCUAUUGUGAAUGACCAGGACCCUCCCAUGAAAUUCAAGAGCUUUUAAAAAAGAAAUAGGGUUGGAAUGCAAACAUCAGACACUUGCUUAGCAUCCACAAGGCCCUGGGUUCCAUUCCAGUGACACCUGCAUCCCAGGACACCUGUUGUUAGGGUCCAUAAACAAGUCAAGAUAGUGCCUGGCAUUUUGCCAGAGGGAGUGGUUUGAGAAGUAAUGCCAGUGAGCCAUUAAGAUGAUAGAUUCCUUAGUGACUAACUGCUGUGCCUAGUUUAUGUAAA